CGGGUAACGGGGUGUUAGGGCACGACACCGGAGAGGGAGCCUGAGAAACGGCUACCACAUCCAAGGAUGGCAGCAGGCGCGCAAAUUACCCAAUCCCGACACGGGGAGGUAGUGACAAUAAAUAACAAUACGGGGUUCUUUCGGAUCUCGUAAUUGGAAUGAGUACAAUUUAAAUCUCUUAACGAGGAACAAUUGGAGGGCAAGUCUGGUGCCAGCAGCCGCGGUAAUUCCAGCUCCAAUAGCGUAUAUUAAAGUUGUUGCAGUUAAAAAGCUCGUAGUUGAAUUUCGGGAUCAAAUUGUCGGUCGUGCCUCGGUACGAACUGGUAUUAUUGGUUCCUCCCUUCUGAAGAACCGCGAUGUCAUUAAUUUGGUGUCGUGGGGAAUCAGGACUGUUACUUUGAAAAAAUUAGAGUGUUUAAAGCAGGCGCACGCUUGAAUACAUUAGCAUGGAAUAAUGAAAUAGGACGUUUGAUUCUAUUUUGUUGGUUUCUAGGAUUGACGUAAUGAUUAAUAGGGAUAGUUGGGGGCAUUAGUAUUCAAUUGUCAGAGGUGAAAUUCUUGGAUUUAUUGAAGACUAACUACUGCGAAAGCAUUUGCCAAGGAUGUUUUCAUUAAUCAAGAACGAAAGUUAGGGGAUCGAAGACGAUCAGAUACCGUCGUAGUCUUAACCAUAAACUAUGCCGACUAGGGAUCGGAUGAUGUUAAUUUUUUAAUGACUCAUUCGGCGCCUUACGG
Molecule: ribosomal RNA, 735 nt
Filed under: uncultured fungus
Lineage: Eukaryota; Fungi
Description: SSU rRNA
Rfam family: Eukaryotic small subunit ribosomal RNA
Source: RNAcentral